UGGGGAAUUUUGGACAAUGGGCGAAGCCUGAUCCAGCAAUGCCGCGUGUGUGAAGAAGGCCUUCGGGUUGUAAAGCACUUUUGUCCGGAAAGAAAUCCUUGGCUCUAAUACAGUCGGGGGAUGACGGUACCGGAAGAAUAAGCACCGGCUAACUACGUGCCAGCAGCCGCGGUAAUACGUAGGGUGCAAGCGUUAAUCGGAAUUACUGGGCGUAAAGCGUGCGCAGGCGGUUUGCUAAGACCGAUGUGAAAUCCCCGGGCUCAACCUGGGAACUGCAUUGGUGACUGGCAGGCUAGAGUAUGGCAGAGGGGGGUAGAAUUCCACGUGUAGCAGUGAAAUGCGUAGAGAUGUGGAGGAAUACCGAUGGCGAAGGCAGCCCCCUGGGCCAAUACUGACGCUCAUGCACGAAAGCGUGGGGAGCAAAACAGGAUUAGAUACCCUGGUAGUCCACGCCCUAAACGAUGUCAACUAGUUGUUGGGGAUUCAUUUCCUUAGUAACGUAGCUAACGCGUGAAGUUGACCGCCUGGGGAGUACGGUCGCAAGAUUAAAACUUAAAGGAAUUGACGGGGUCAUAGCUGUUUCCU
RNAcentral lists this ribosomal RNA (585 nucleotides) under uncultured bacterium. Its description in RNAcentral is "partial 16S ribosomal RNA". It matches the Rfam family "Bacterial small subunit ribosomal RNA", at positions 355 to 1375 of the family's 1533-position model. The record is from RNAcentral.